CCUACGGGGGGCAGCAGUGGGGAAUAUUGGGCAAUGGGCGCAAGCCUGACCCAGCAACGCCGCGUGAAGGAAGAAGGCUUUCGGGUUGUAAACUUCUUUUCUCAGGGACGAAGAAAGUGACGGUACGUGAGGAAUAAGCCACGGCUAACUACGUGCCAGCAGCCGCGGUAAUACGUAGGUGGCAAGCGUGAUCCGGAUGUACUGGGUGUAAAGGGAGAGUAGGCGGGGAAGCAAGGCAGAUGUUAAAACACCGGGCUCAACCUGUGGCCUGCAUUUGAAACUGUUUUUCUUGAGUACUGGAUCGGCAGACGGAUUUCCUAGUGUAGCGGUGACAUGCGUAGAUAUUAGGAGGACCACCAGUGGCGAAGGCGGUCUGCUGGACAGCAACUGACGCUGAGGCGC
Molecule: ribosomal RNA, 402 nt
Filed under: uncultured bacterium
Lineage: Bacteria
Description: partial 16S ribosomal RNA
Rfam family: Bacterial small subunit ribosomal RNA
Source: RNAcentral